AAACCUAAUUCAGAUCAUGGCUUUCCUCUCUUCUAAGCCUCCAUUGGCUGCCUUACAAUGGCCUUCAAUGCCAUAGAUGAUUUACUCUUGAGCUAGAUGACUAAGUAACAUUAUCAAAUAUCCAUCAAGCAAAGUUAAGAUGAGAGAAAUGAAAAGAGGCAGGAUACUCUGUAACUCAACUGCUCUCAAUAUAAUUAGAUUUUGACUGAAAUACAAUGAGAAAAUUGUAUUCUGUUAACUUGGAUUUCCUUUUUCUUCUGCUCAGCCUACCUCUUACUACUCCUCCCUUUGCUCAUUCUUCUAGAAACACUGGCUUGUGAACCACUUCUUAACCAUGCCAGUUUUGCUUCCAACCCAGGCUUUUGAACUUGCUGUUUUCUUUUGCCUGGAACCAUUCUUCCCAUAAUUAUUUCCAUGGCUCAUUUCCUCGUUUCUUUCAGGACUGGACUCAAAUGUCACCUGCUUAGAGAAGACUUAUUUGACUUACUACUUAAGUUUUCCCAUUUUCUAGCAUUCCUUAUCUUCUUUUCCUGCUUUAUUUUUUUCUAUAGCACUUACAACCAUCUAGUGGAUUUUAAUAUACAUCUCCCCUAGCCCAUGACAGAAAGAAAACUACAGGAAGACAGGCUCCUUGGCAACCUCUCCACUGAGCAUCGCCAUCCCGCAGUUUUCUGAGGCAUUCCCUCCGCAGCAAACAUCCUGCCACUCAGCCUCUGCUCCAUGUGCAUAUCAACAUGCAGCCCCUGACUCGGACUUGCUUAGUCCUACCUGGUGGCCACCUUUAGUUGGGUUCAUAGUGAAGGCUCUGCCUUUUCUUCUAUGUACUCCCGAGCCUAUAUCCUGCCAGAAUUGUAAGUUCUAUUCAGACACCUCAAUAGAUUGGCACUGGUUUCUAUUUCCUGGACCCCAGGGACCCACACUCAGUUCUUCAAAGCAUCCUCUCACUGUGGUCCCCAAAGCAUUCUCUGACAUCAUCCUUCUACCAGGGGUGGGUUAGGAAGUAGAAAGCAUCCACUUCUUUCCACCUCCUGUUAGGCAGACAACUAUCUUCACGGAAAACAGUACUUACAAAUUCAGCAAAUCUAGCAGAUGAUAUUCUAGUACUUCUGUAUAAAAUAUAUGCAUAAAAUCUAGUUUUUGCCUGAGAGUGAAAAUAAUGGAUAAUAUCCAUUGUAACCACCCAUUAGACAGAAAAAUAGGUAGAUAUAGCAAUCUACACAUAUAAAUAGAUAGAUACAUAGAUAUGUAGAUAUAUAGAUUAUAGGUACCUAUGCACAGAUAUAUUCCAAACACUGUUGCCAACUGAUAUGACUUGGAUCUGUCCAAAUCUCAUGUCUAAUUUUAGUCCCCAUUGUUGGAGGUGGAGCCUGGUUGGAGGUGUUUGGAUCAUGGGGAUGGAUUCUCAUAAAUGUUUUAUCACCAUCCCCUUCGUGGUGUCCUUGUGAUAGUGAGUGAGUUCUUGUGAGAUCUGGUUGUUUAGAAGUACGUGGCACCUCUCCCCCACCCCCACCCCCACUCUCUUUCUCUCUUGCCCCUGUUCUCUCCAUGUAAUAUGCUUGCUCCCUAUUUGCCUUCCAUUGUGAUUGGAAGCUUCCUGAGGCUUCCCCAGAAACAGAAGUCACUGUGCUUCCUAUACAGCCUGCAGAACCAUGAGCCAAUUCAA
This 1663-nucleotide long non-coding RNA is filed under the name Homo sapiens (human). RNAcentral's name for it is "HSALNT0272351". Lineage: Eukaryota; Metazoa; Chordata; Mammalia; Primates; Hominidae. The record is from RNAcentral.